GGGCGCAAGCCUGAUCCAGCCAUGCCGCGUGAGUGAUGAAGGCCCUAGGGUUGUAAAGCUCUUUCACCGGUGAAGAUAAUGACGGUAGCCGGAGAAGAAGCCCCGGCUAACUCCGUGCCAGCAGCCGCGGUAAUACGGAGGGGGCUAGCGUUGUUCGGAAUUACUGGGCGUAAAGCGCACGUAGGCGGGUAUCCAAGUUGGGGGUGAAAUCCCGGGGCUCAACCCCGGAACUGCCUCCAAAACUGGGUACCUAGAGUCCGAGAGAGGUGAGUGGAAUUCCCAGUGUAGAGGUGAAAUUCGUAGAUAUUGGGAAGAACACCAGUGGCGAAGGCGGCUCACUGGCUCGGUACUGACGCUGAGGUGCGACAGCGUGGGGAGCAAACAGGAUUAGAUACCCUGGUAGUCCACGCCGUAAACGAUGAGAGCUAGUUGUCGGGCAGCAUGCUGUUCGGUGACGCAGCUAACGCAUUAAGCUCUCCGCCUGG
Molecule: ribosomal RNA, 485 nt
Filed under: uncultured Parvibaculum sp.
Lineage: Bacteria; Pseudomonadati; Pseudomonadota; Alphaproteobacteria; Hyphomicrobiales; Parvibaculaceae
Description: bacterial SSU rRNA
Rfam family: Bacterial small subunit ribosomal RNA
Source: RNAcentral